UUCUGAAACAGAUAUUUGAAGUAGGUUUUGUAAUAGGGGAAAUCCGAGAUAUUUGAAGUAGGUUUUGUAAAUAGAUAUAAAGUUGUUUGGGUUGUGUAAAAUUUAGCUACUGAAAAAGUGGUAGGAUUUCCGCUUGAGGUUGAAGAAAGAAAACAUUGAGAGAGUUUAAUGAAGAAGAUGGAGAUUGGAUUUUUAAUGGGAUUGCUCGAAAGGGAUCUAGUUGGGAGAUCAUUGGUUACCUUUUUUUUUUUAAUUAAAUGAAGUCCUUCAUCACAGUGGAUUGUGUUGGCACAGUGACUUCUUAGCACAAUUGUUUGUCAGUAAUUAAAUAAGUUCUCGUAAUGUAAGCUCAAGCAGUCUGUUCUUCACAUAGAUGUUUAUAGAAAUCUGUUUUAACAUAAAUGAGUUUCUAUUCAUGCUUA
Papaver somniferum (opium poppy) is the source of this 422-nucleotide long non-coding RNA. RefSeq lists it as uncharacterized. Lineage: Eukaryota; Viridiplantae; Streptophyta; Magnoliopsida; Ranunculales; Papaveraceae. The transcript has 2 exons. The record is from RefSeq and is a predicted model, not a curated record.